Molecule: ribosomal RNA, 122 nt
Filed under: uncultured Craterellus
Lineage: Eukaryota; Fungi; Basidiomycota; Agaricomycetes; Cantharellales; Hydnaceae
Description: partial 28S ribosomal RNA
Source: RNAcentral
AUGACCUCAAAUCAGAUGAGACUACCCGCUGAACUUAAGCAUAUCGUUGUAAAUUGAAGAGAGUGUCAUCCACUCUGGACCAUGUCUAAUUGUAAUGAUCCACAGUCCUUUGAUGGAGUAUC